UUUUAUUGAUUAAACUUGAAAAUUAAUCCAAACAGAUAAAGUUUUGAUUUUAAAUGUGAUUUGUUCUCAAAUUAUUGUAUUUGGAGGAAUAUUUAUUUGAUUUUUAUCAAAUCGAGAAAUUCGGGAUUAAUUUGUCACUUAAUUGGUGUCGGAUUGCAAUUCAAUUUGGUCCAUUAAUUAAAUUUGACUUCAAUUGAAAUCAAAUUGGCCCCAAUUGUGAUACAAUUAGCCAAUCGAUAUUCAAUUUGGCUAGAAUUUAAAUGAAAUGGCCUAAGUUGUAAUUCAAUAUCUCAAUUUUAAUUUCCAAAACGCACUCAGCCGCCCCAGGCCCAAAACCAAUCAAUACCCAUCCCAAUACCCUUCAUCAAUCUCUCUUUCUCCUCAAAACAACACCAGCCAUCUCAAUACAUUCCAACCUGUCAACUACCCGAAUCCGAUAAACCCCCAACCGAAAAUCCGGUGAACCCAGCCUCCUGACACCAACCCGACCGCGAUCCGACUAUAACCCAUCGAUAACAGCAAUAUAUGCACAGACAAUCAUUACCCGACCUGAUUUUAUCCAAAAUCGACCAAGAAAACUCGAACCAGUUGAUUCUCGUCUAAACACCUUCCUCUUCACUCAAAUUCGUACCUCCUUACGUGAUUAGCACAAUGUUUGACACAAAAUCAGUCUCGAACCUUUCGAAAACAAGCUAGGUGUCACACCCAACGGCUCAACUCCGCGAAUCUCAAAAUAAUCAAUACGGAUUCGUACAUUUUUAGCAAUUUUUGAUUGGUUCAUGAGGAAAUUUUGAUUCCUCAUCCCUUAUUGGUUAAUUAUUUUGAAUUGUUGGAGAAAAAUUUCAAAUUAGUACCGAUCUUGAACAGAAAAUCCUAUCCGGAACCCAAAAAAUUCAAAAGAUAUCCUCUCUUUCAAAUUCCUAAAUUACCCCUAAUUCGUCUUUUAUAUAAAGACUCAUUGGAUCACUGUUUCAAGGGGUUAGAGAUUGGAGGGUUCAAAAUUUUUAGGGUUCGAAAAUUGGGGGUCAAAAAUUCUGGGUUUCAAAAUUUGGGUCGGAGAUUCUAGAGUUGAAAAUUAGGGUUCGAAACUUUGGGGAUUUUUCUUUUUUUCUCUCCUCUUCUUUCUUUUCUGAAUUCGAAAAUUGGGGGUUGGAAGUUUUGAGUUCGUAAAAACUAAAGGAGAAAGAAAAAUAGGGGGGCUCUUGGAGAAAUUUUAGGGGGGCUCUUGGAGAAAUUUUAGUCUUUUAGUAGAAAUUCUGUUCCCUUUUGGAGAGUUCAUCGGUUAGAUUAGAGCCUAGAGUUGACAGCAAAGACAUUUUCCGGUGGCUGUAAAUCCAACGCUAGUUCGUUGUCACGUUUUACUGCUCUGCAAGAGGUAAAUACACUCUUUUCCUUUUAAUUUUAUGGUUUUCUUCUUCAUCCCUUUCUCUGUAGUAAUGCUUGUUUAAUAGUAAUCAUGAAUGUGGCUGGAAAUUGUUUGCUGUAGAUGCCUUUUAUGGUAGGAUUUGUUUGCGAUAGUUGUUGUUACGUCUGAAUCAAUGUUUGUACUACAGUGGUUGCUCCGUGGUCGACUUCGUGUACUUUUGGUUUCACUGUUUUAAACUCCCUGCCUCCUAUUAAGACUGUUUAGUUAUCGAUUCUUAUUCUAGCAAUAUUCUGAACAUUCUGUGCUUUUCCCGCUCGAUUCAUUGUCUUUCUUCGACUAUUGUUCCUGUAUGGACUUUGUUUAAAUGUUCAAUGUAUAGUGUCCUCUCGAUUUACUGUUCUUCGAUUCAGUUGUGAUCUCAAUGCGCCAGCCUCAUGAUUCGUGUUUGCAGUUGACCUUUGAAAUCAUGAUAACAUCAACUUUGCUAGUUUACUGAUUUUUUUUAUUAUUUAUUUUUAUUUUGAACGUGACGGCCUGACAUUGCUAGUUAUAUAGUUUGAAUAUUAGUUAUUCUAGUUCUCAUUUAUGGCCUUAGUCUGAUAUUAUCGGUGGUUUGCCUUUCUUUGCUUAGUCUUGUGUUUGCUUGGACCCCUGUGACCAGUAAAAAAUAUUUCUAAAGUUCUUUGGCAAUUAAUGCCAAGAAGGAGCAAGGAUAUGUUAUAUUCGUCACAAAUCGUCCCGUGAUCCCUCCUGAACUCGUUCUCGUCUCAAAGAGAUUUUAAGAGGUGGUUGAAGAUUUGUAAAUAAGAAAUAUUUACUGCUUAUUUUCUUUUAGUCAUCACCACAGAAGAUCAGAACACUUUGUCUAAGGUCAAGGGUCAUUGUGAUGUCUUAAAAUGGUUCCCUUUCUCUUUGACGUCUAAUUAUCAUAUGGUGUAAGCUGGUUUAUUCGUCUUUUAGAGUUAUCCUCAUCUUUUUCUGAGUAAGUGUGUUUCGUUUAUCACUCAAUUAGAUUCUUCACGACAUAUGAGUAUCAAAGUAGUGACCUUAAGUUUUAAAGUUCAUGUUCCUGUUUUUUUUUGUUUUCUUUUCUGUGUCUAUUUCCUUUUAUUCCUUCUUUGUAACUUCCCCCUUCACUAGAAUUUAUUUAUGAGGUAAGAUCCACUUUAUAUACAUGCAAAACUUUCCUUUUGUUUCGUGUUGUCUAUUGCAAGUCUAGUCAUUUUUUUGUCUCAUCUAUUUGAGGCAGGCGACGUAGUGUUUGUUUUUGGGUGAUCAAAGUUAAAUGUCGCAACUCUUCCUUUACUUAGUCUGCAUAUUUUAAAUGUAGCAUUCGAUAAUCAAAAUGUGAGAUUUGGUUUAAACUUUUCAUUAACGUUCCUAUAGUCUCCUUUUUUUUUUAUGUGAGUUUGAUUCAUGUUUCUUCAUUAUUUGAGUCAUUUAUUUUUGCAAAACACAUGUUAAUUCCUUCAUUGUUUUUCUCUUGCAUGAACUCGUUUGGGAGUCCAAAUGAACUCUUUCUUCUUGCAUUACAUAAUGGGCCAUGGAGGCCCACUCCCUUUUAGAAGACUUUUGAAAGAACUAAGAAAGCAAUCUCAUGGCAUAUGGAUAUAAAGUGAUGAAAGGAGAAAAAUGGAUUAAAGUUCCAUCUUUGAAGCAGCCAAGAGACUUAAAAGUCUCGAUUUCUAUUUUUUUUAUUUAUUUAGUCAUAGAAACGACAUCUGUUAUGUCAAUGAGACCAAAUGGAUAUUAAAUGAAUGGAAUUGGGAUAUGGAUGGAAUAUAAUGAAAUAUUUAUUAUUGUUGUCUUUAUUUAUUUAGUUAUUUAUUUUUAUUUAUUCAUUCGGGCCACGAAGCCAAAGUUAUAUUUAAUAUAGGUGGAGCAAGAUUCAAGCUAAGGGCUCGAAAACUAGAUCAGGACAGGUGAAAAGGGCCGAAAGCCUAAACUAGUUUAGGACAGGUUGAUUUGGGCCCAAUGGCCUAAAUCCCUUACUUCCUCCCCUUUUUCCUAUUCUUUAUGCUUGUUUUUCUUCUGUGUUUUGCGAACCUAGUAAAAUCCUUUGUCAAGUCGCUAAAAAAUUGGUUUUGCAUAAACACCAAAAUAUUCCUAAAAUUAUUUUCUUUCAGAAAAACAGUUUUUUUUUUAAGUUAGUCAAAAGACGUUUUCAAACAGUUCGGAUAACCGCAAGUUAGCGGGUGUUUUAGGUGCCUAACGCUUUCCUAAAACGUUAAUAGGAACCGCUUACUCAAAAUCUUCAAAACUUGAAUGAUUUUUCUGUUUUGGAUCGUUCAAAGUAACUCUCUAAAGGUUUCUUAUUUCCUUUUCAAAAUUAAGUGGCGACUCUCAAAAGUCAAAAAUUUUGUCAAAACAAUUAUAAGCACAGAUCCAUUUCCUGGGGUGAAUGUGAUAAUAUUUAGUGAAGCUUAUUAAUAUAAACGUGUACUUGUUUGUGAUGGUAUGACAACUCAUCUCCGAAAGAGGCAGAAUAGCUGAGAUGAGUUAUUUUGAAAUCUACUUCUGAAGUAGUAAAUUUGAAAUUUAUUCAUGUAAUAGUGAAUCAAAAAUUUAUAAAGAAAAAGUACAUGUCAUGGUAAACUUGGAUUUUACUAAUAUAAAAGUUUAUAAGUUGACAUGAACUAUUGCGACAUCCCAUAGAUGUACAUAUUAAGUAUUAAAUAUAUAUUGAAGAAUUCGAAAAUUCUUCUUGAGCUUUUAAUGUUGCUUGUUCUCAUGAUAAGUUGGUUGGACCAAUUAAUUUUGGGAUUGGAUCCCUCAAAAUCUGAAAAGAAUAAAAGGUGAAUAAGGGUACGUUCACCUAUUAUGUGAUAUGUUGAAAAUGAUGCAUCAAUAAGAUAAUCACAUGUAUAUUUAUUGUCAACCUGUAAUUUGACAUUCAUAAAGUUGAUUGCUCAAUAAAAUUAAGUUAAGAACGUAAUUUUCAGAUUGUGAAAUCAAGACAAUUCAUCUUAAUGAUGAUGGUUUGACAUUUAAUGCCUUCGAUAAAUAGUUAAGUCAUUGCUAAUGAGAAUAAAGUUUCAUGUGUUGGACUAAAAUAUGAUAUGUUGCAUACAAUAGCACUUGUAUGCAUUAGAUCAAUAAAUUAUGAUUAUUUCUUUUCUACCAAUUGGUUCAAGAUUAGGAAUCACAUGUUGUCCAUCUAAUAAUUUUGAUGUGCAGUAUACGAUUAAUGAAUAUACCAUGAUGCACAAAGAUGGACUCCUCAAAGAAGAUGAGGAUGAAUGUUAGUUUUUCUAACAUAAGUGGGAUCGGAGAUUAUAAGCAGCUAUGAAAUAUGUUAGGAAUUAUCAUAAGAUCCUCAUUCAUAAGAUAAUUCAAGUCAAAUGCCGAAAGCAUAUCAUAUUUAAGCUGCAAGUACUCCUAUUUUGUGUCCUUGAAGGAGAAAGUCUAUGCAUGCAUGAAACAUGGUAGACUAAUCGGUUUCAAAUGAAACAAGGAGCAAAUAAUCAUAAUAAGAAAGUAAUGUGCUCUUGAAGAGCCUACGACAUAACACUUCAUGAAAUCUUAUGAUAGGUUCAGGUAUCUAAAAAUAAUGAAGUGAUGAGAUCUCAAAAUGUUAUGUCACAUUGCGAAUCGAUACAAAAUGAGAAACUGUCGAUGAUAUCUUUAAUACAAUAUUGGCGCAAUAUUGUAAAAGAUUACGAGGAUCUGAAUUCUACGUUAAUUUAAGCAUGCUUACGUAGAAACAUUUAUCAAGUGACCUGAAAGGAUGCAUUUUGGUAAGCGUAAAACUUAUUUGAUUUACAGUCCAAACACUUGAAGAUAUCACACUUGACAUGUUGAAUAUUGCUACUUGACAAACAUCCAUACGAAAAUCUCUAAAGGAUUCAAAAUGCCUGAAGCAUAUAAAGUUUCUGGGAAACUUUUAUUAUCCUCAUAAGAUAUAAUUUAAUGAUUUGAGUAUCGUUGAAACUCUUGGAGAGUUUUCAAAAGCAAUAGAGUAUUUGCUUAAAUGAGAAAUAUGCAAAAAUUGAAUAAGGAUUCAUUCCGACCUCAAGAAAAGAAUGAGGAACUCCUUGGUUAUGAAGUACCAUAUCUUAGUGCAAUUGAUGUACUAAUGUAUCUUGGAAAUACUACAAGGCCUGAUAUAGUUUUUUUUUUAGUUAAUUUGUUAGCAAGUUUGCAGUCCCGAUUUUAUUGGUCAUACUGAUUUUGGGUAGUUAGCUAACCUACAUAAAGCUCGGCCUCAAAUAGGCUAUGUGUUCAUAUGCGUUGGUACUGCAAUAUCUUGGAGAUAUACAAAGCAGUCUAUCAUAGUCACUUCAUCGAAUCAUGCUAAGAUAAUAGCUAUUCAUAAAGCAAGCCGAGAAUGUGUAUGGUUGAGGUCCAUGAUACAUUUCAUUCGAGAAAAAUGUGGUGUGAAAUAUGGUAAUCUACCCACAAUUUUAUACGGAGAUAAUGCAUCAUGCAUAGCACAUCUUAAUAGAGGAUUCAUAAAAGGAGAUAGAACGAAGCACACUUCAUCAAAGCUUUUCUACAUACAUGAGCUAUAAGAGAAUGGUGAUAUCAACAUGCAACAAAUUCGUUCAAGUGAAAACAUGGCUGAUUUCUUCACCAAGUCUUCUCCAAUUACAACUUUUAAGAAGAUGGUGCACAAGAUCGGGAUGCAAAGGUUCAAAGAUGUUCUCAUUAGGGGGAGUUAAUACGCGUUGUACUAUUUUUCCCUUACGAGGUUUUGUCCCACUGGAUUUUUCUUGUAAGGUUUUUAAUGAGGCAACCGAUAUGCGUAUUGUUAGAAAUGUGUACUCUUUUUCCUUCACUAGAUUUUUUUUCCUACUGAGUUUUUUCUAGUAAAGUUUUAACGAGGCACAUUAUUUAUCUAGACAUUCAAAGAGUGUUAUAAAUGUAUUUACAUUAUAGUGAAUGUCUAUCAAGAUCUAAUAAUUUCUACUUUGAUAUCUAUUAGGAUUUGAAACAUUUGUCUUUUACUCAAAGUAGUAAAUUUUUCCUAUAAAUAGAAGGUUUCCUUCAUUGUAAAUCAUCCUUCAAGAGAACAAAUAAGAAUCACUCUCUUUAUUCUCUCUACUCUUCUUUUUUCUUCUUUAUUAGUUUAUAACAAUUUUUUCCUUUUUUGGGGGGUUAAAAAUCUAGUCCCGCUAUCAAAUUUGUAUUUAUACUCUUUGUCUAGCAACAAUUUAUUUAUAAUCAAGUCUUACUCAGUCCUAAAUUGACAAUUUAUUGAAUUUGGAAUACGUUUAUGUAUAUAAAUACAAUGUAUUAUAUUGAUCUUUUUUUACAUUAAAACAUAUUUUCCAAUAAGUAAUCGAUCGAUCAUCUAAAAAAAGUUACAAUCAAAUUUGAAUAUUGAUAUUAUGCCAAGAUGCUACGCAAUUGAUUGAUCUUCCAAAUAAAUGACUACCAAAUUUGACUACUGGUAUUAUAGCAAGUAUUCAAUAAACUUCCAAAUUAAGAUUCUAGUAGACAUAAUUAUCAUUAGCCGAACUUGUAUAUUAGCAUAGAGUAUGUACACACAAAAAUCACAAACACUCUCUUUUUAUUUAUUUUUUUUGGUGAUAGAAAGAUGGCAAUGUCUUCGAAAAUCUUUUUGAUCUUCCUUAUUCUUAUUGCCAUUGCAUCAGGUACCCUCUUUUCUCAACAAUAAAAAAUAUUGUAUUCAAAGGAGGAUCGAUUCAAUAUUGAAAUUUUAUGGGUUUUGAAGUUUAUGUUCUUAAAAUUAAACUUUUAUUUUUAAAAUAAUUAGUUUAAAUAUACUUUUUGUUAUUAAAAUUUUACACAUAAAAGUUAUGCUACUUGUCAAAAGUAUUAGGCUCAUAUGAACCUAGUGCGCUACAAAGCUAUAAGCCUUUGUAGAUAUUAGUGUUGUUGUUUUCUUUUUAUAACAAAUUUUUUUGUAUCAACUUCAUAUUGAUAUAGAUCUGCUGAAAAAUCUCAUUGUAUAAAUAGGUAAAAAAAGAACAACAUAUAUAUUAUAUGUUGAAUUCUUUCAACUUCUUGAUGCGUAGAUUUCUUUAUAUUUUGAUUAUUGUACUGACAAUGUUUUUAUAUGAUGAUAGUUUGUGUAGCAAAAGGACGAUGUGGAGAGACAUGUACAUCAAGCUAUAAGAACAUAUGCAGAGAUCAUCGAAGUGAUAACACAUGCAAAGCUUUUUGUUCAGAAAGAUUUGGAGCUUUAAGAGUGUGUUCAGCAGACUGUGUAGAUGAAGAUGAGACUAUCUAUUGUCAAUGUACCCUACAGAUUGAUGCAUGUCCUUAAAAAUGACAUUGUUUUUCCUUUUGUCUUUUAUUUUUAAUUUCUUGCUAUGAGGAUUACUGGCGUAAUUUCAUAUCUUCUAAUAAUAUGAAGUAUUAUAAUGAAAAUUAAAACG
Molecule: long non-coding RNA, 7710 nt
Filed under: Capsicum annuum
Lineage: Eukaryota; Viridiplantae; Streptophyta; Magnoliopsida; Solanales; Solanaceae
Description: long non-coding RNA (CANN_LNC003985)
Source: RNAcentral